Molecule: ribosomal RNA, 253 nt
Filed under: uncultured bacterium
Lineage: Bacteria
Description: partial 16S ribosomal RNA
Rfam family: Bacterial small subunit ribosomal RNA
Source: RNAcentral
UACGGAGGGGGCUAGCGUUGUUCGGAAUUACUGGGCGUAAAGCGUCCGCAGGUGGUUUAUCAAGUCUGCUGUUAAAGCACAGGGCUUAACCCUGUAAAGGCAGUGGAAACUGUGAGACUAGAGUACGGUAGGGGUAGCGGGAAUUCCUAGUGUAGCGGUGAAAUGCGUAGAUAUUAGGAAGAACACCAGCGGCGAAGGCGCGCUACUGGGCCGAAACUGACACUGAUGGACGAAAGCUAGGGGAGCGAAAGGG